This 71-nucleotide transfer RNA is filed under the name Perca flavescens (yellow perch). It matches the Rfam family "tRNA". From Rfam's summary of the family: Transfer RNA (tRNA) molecules are approximately 80 nucleotides in length. Their secondary structure includes four short double-helical elements and three loops (D, anti-codon, and T loops). Lineage: Eukaryota; Metazoa; Chordata; Actinopteri; Perciformes; Percidae. The record is from Rfam by way of RNAcentral.
GGGGAAUUAGCUCAAAUGGUAGAGCGCUCGCUUAGCAUGCGAGAUAGCAGGAUCGAUACCUACAUUCUCCA